This is a long non-coding RNA of Anguilla anguilla (European eel), 420 nucleotides long. RefSeq lists it as uncharacterized. The transcript has 3 exons. NCBI's taxonomy places the organism in Eukaryota, Metazoa, Chordata, Actinopteri, Anguilliformes, Anguillidae. The record is from RefSeq and is a predicted model, not a curated record.
CAGCACUAAUAUGAUACAGCAUAAAACAUUAAUGCUGUAGCAACACAUAAUAUUAGCAUAAUUCCCCAUUAAAACUGCAAUGGCAACGUGACUGAUACAUCCCAACAAGGCUGUUGGUGGACAUCCCGGAAGGUGGUACAAACCCAGAAAAGGUACCCAGCAAAUCCUACAGUCUGAACCACCUGAGGCAUAGACUGAAGAGGAGAACUUGCGGCACAUGCUUCUGUGCUUUUCAGAACUGAUGGAGGACCUGUAGUCAGCAGAGACUAUACAGUUCCCACCACUAUGUUCUCACUAUCCUAGAAGAACCUUCAGCUAAGAAUUCUCAUAAGUACCUCAGCUGCCUCAGGGCAGAUGGGGCCGAAGAUGGCCGAGAUGUUCUCCUUCCACACCUGGUCGAUAAAGGCGGCGAGGGAAGAC